UUUGAGGGGAAUGUUGUCUGGCUCGAGGCCAUUAACUUGGUCCAAUAAGAAUUUAAUUUCUUUUCCCUUUUGAGAUAAAAGGGAUCAUGGAUCAUGGGUUAGUGUCGUCGGACCAGGCUUCAUUCCCCCCAAA
This 133-nucleotide microRNA precursor is filed under the name Nicotiana attenuata. RNAcentral describes it as "pre miRNA mir-166". It matches the Rfam family "mir-166 microRNA precursor family". From Rfam's summary of the family: This family represents the plant microRNA (miRNA) precursor mir-166. Animal miRNAs are transcribed as ~70nt precursors and subsequently processed by the Dicer enzyme to give a ~22nt product. Lineage: Eukaryota; Viridiplantae; Streptophyta; Magnoliopsida; Solanales; Solanaceae. The record is from Rfam by way of RNAcentral.